GUUACCUUCAUGCAUGCCACAUAUACUAAAAUUGGAACGAUACAGAGAAUUAGCUUGGCUCUUGCACAAGGAUGAUACGCAAAUGCGUGAUAUGUUCCAUGUAUUA
Ochotona princeps (American pika) is the source of this 106-nucleotide small nuclear RNA. Lineage: Eukaryota; Metazoa; Chordata; Mammalia; Lagomorpha; Ochotonidae. The record is from Ensembl.